CUGAAAUCAGGUGGGAUUACCCGCUGA
RNAcentral lists this ribosomal RNA (27 nucleotides) under Actinomucor elegans. RNAcentral describes it as "partial 28S ribosomal RNA". Lineage: Eukaryota; Fungi; Mucoromycota; Mucoromycetes; Mucorales; Mucoraceae. RNAcentral also lists the same sequence under 1 other name. The record is from RNAcentral.